This 841-nucleotide ribosomal RNA is filed under the name uncultured bacterium. RNAcentral describes it as "bacterial SSU rRNA". It matches the Rfam family "Bacterial small subunit ribosomal RNA", at positions 17 to 848 of the family's 1533-position model. The record is from RNAcentral.
UCCUGGCUCAGGAUGAACGCUAGCUACAGGCUUAACACAUGCAAGUCGAGGGGAAACGACAUCGAAAGCUUGCUUUUGAUGGGCGUCGACCGGCGCACGGGUGAGUAACGCGUAUCCAACCUGCCCACCACUUGGGGAUAACCUUGCGAAAGUAAGACUAAUACCCAAUGAUAUCUCUAGAAGACAUCUGAAAGAGAUUAAAGAUUUAUCGGUGAUGGAUGGGGAUGCGUCUGAUUAGCUUGUUGGCGGGGUAACGGCCCACCAAGGCGACGAUCAGUAGGGGUUCUGAGAGGAAGGUCCCCCACAUUGGAACUGAGACACGGUCCAAACUCCUACGGGAGGCAGCAGUGAGGAAUAUUGGUCAAUGGGCGAGAGCCUGAACCAGCCAAGUAGCGUGCAGGAUGACGGCCCUAUGGGUUGUAAACUGCUUUUAUAAGGGAAUAAAGUGAGUCUCGUGAGACUUUUUGCAUGUACCUUAUGAAUAAGGACCGGCUAAUUCCGUGCCAGCAGCCGCGGUAAUACGGAAGGUCCGGGCGUUAUCCGGAUUUAUUGGGUUUAAAGGGAGCGUAGGCCGGAGAUUAAGCGUGUUGUGAAAUGUAGAUGCUCAACAUCUGAACUGCAGCGCGAACUGGUUUCCUUGAGUACGCACAAAGUGGGCGGAAUUCGUGGUGUAGCGGUGAAAUGCUUAGAUAUCACGAAGAACUCCGAUUGCGAAGGCAGCUCACUGGAGCGCAACUGACGCUGAAGCUCGAAAGUGCGGGUAUCGAACAGGAUUAGAUACCCUGGUAGUCCGCACGGUAAACGAUGGAUGCCCGCUGUUGGUCUGAAUAGGUCAGCGGCC